RNAcentral lists this ribosomal RNA (423 nucleotides) under uncultured soil bacterium. RNAcentral describes it as "bacterial SSU rRNA". It matches the Rfam family "Bacterial small subunit ribosomal RNA", at positions 26 to 454 of the family's 1533-position model. The record is from RNAcentral.
AGGACGAACGCUGGCGGCGUGCUUAACACAUGCAAGUCGAGCGGUAAGGCCUUUCGGGGUACACGAGCGGCGAACGGGUGAGUAACACGUGGGUGAUCUGCCCUGCACUCUGGGAUAAGCCUGGGAAACUGGGUCUAAUACCGGAUAUGACCUGCUCUCGCAGUGGGGGUGGGUGGAAAGAUUUAUCGGUGCAGGAUGGGCCCGCGGCCUAUCAGCUUGUUGGUGGGGUAAUGGCCUACCAAGGCGACGACGGGUAGCCGACCUGAGAGGGUGACCGGCCACACUGGGACUGAGACACGGCCCAGACUCCUACGGGAGCAGCAGUGGGAAUAUGCACGAAUGGGCGAAAGCCUGAUGCAGCGACGCGCGUGAGGAUGAAGGUCCUUCGGGUUAGUAAACCUCUUUCAGCGAGGACGAAGCGAC